GACGAACGCUGGCGGCGUGCCUAAUACAUGCAAGUCGAACGAGAGCGACCGGUGCUUGCACUGGUCAAUCUAGUGGCGAACGGGUGAGUAACACGUGGGUAACCUGCCCAUCAGAGGGGGAUAACAUUCGGAAACGGAUGCUAAAACCGCAUAGGUUCUUGAGUCGCAUGACUGAAGAAGGAAAAGAGGCUUCGGCUUCUGCUGAUGGAUGGACCCGCGGUGCAUUAGCUAGUUGGUGAGGUAACGGCUCACCAAGGCCGUGAUGCAUAGCCGACCUGAGAGGGUGAUCGGCCACAUUGGGACUGAGACACGGCCCAAACUCCUACGGGAGGCAGCAGUAGGGAAUCUUCCGCAAUGGACGCAAGUCUGACGGAGCAACGCCGCGUGAGUGAAGAAGGAUUUCGGUUCGUAAAACUCUGUUGUUAGAGAAGAACAGCGCAUAGAGU
RNAcentral lists this ribosomal RNA (446 nucleotides) under Granulicatella elegans. RNAcentral describes it as "bacterial SSU rRNA". It matches the Rfam family "Bacterial small subunit ribosomal RNA", at positions 28 to 462 of the family's 1533-position model. Lineage: Bacteria; Bacillati; Bacillota; Bacilli; Lactobacillales; Carnobacteriaceae. The record is from RNAcentral.